ACAGGCACAGGGGUUACCGUGAUCAGCAAGGCGGUUCCCCCAGGGCGAGGCUCGGCCAUUGCACUUCUGGGUCUGGUUGACCCCUGCGAAUAUCCCUCAUGUGGAUAUCUCGUGUGUGUUAUUUUUGGUAGCCGGGACGUGCGUACGCACACAUCCCGA
RNAcentral lists this small nuclear RNA (159 nucleotides) under Culex quinquefasciatus (southern house mosquito). RNAcentral's name for it is "U1 spliceosomal RNA". It matches the Rfam family "U1 spliceosomal RNA". Rfam says of the family: U1 is a small nuclear RNA (snRNA) component of the spliceosome (involved in pre-mRNA splicing). Its 5' end forms complementary base pairs with the 5' splice junction, thus defining the 5' donor site of an intron. There are significant differences in sequence and secondary structure between metazoan and yeast U1 snRNAs, the latter being much longer (568 nucleotides as compared to 164 nucleotides in human). Lineage: Eukaryota; Metazoa; Arthropoda; Insecta; Diptera; Culicidae. The record is from Rfam by way of RNAcentral.